UGCAGUCGAGCGACAGAAGGGAGCUUGCUCCCGGAUGUUAGCGGCGGACGGGUGAGUAACACGUGGGUAACCUGCCUGUAAGACUGGGAUAACUCCGGGAAACCGGAGCUAAUACCGGAUAGUUCCUUGAACCGCAUGGUUCAAGGAUGAAAGACGGUUUCGGCUGUCACUUACAGAUGGACCCGCGGCGCAUUAGCUAGUUGGUGGGGUAAUGGCUCACCAAGGCGACGAUGCGUACCCGACCUGAGAGGGUGAUCGGCCACACUGGGACUGAGACACGGCCCAGACUCCUACGGGAGGCAGCAGUAGGGAAUCUUCCGCAAUGGACGAAAGUCUGACGGAGCAACGCCGCGUGAGUGAUGAAGGUUUUCGGAUCGUAAAGCUCUGUUGUUAGGGAAAAACAAGUGCGAGAGUAACUGCUCGCACCUUGACGGUACCUAACCAGAAAGCCACGGCUAACUACGUGCCAGCAGCCGCGGUAAUACGUAGGUGGCAAGCGUUGUCCGGAAUUAUUGGGCGUAAAGGGCUCGCAGGCGGUUUCUUAAGUCUGAUGUGAAACCCCCCGGCUCAACCGGGGAGGGUCAUUGGAAACUGGGAAACUUGAGUGCAGAAGAGGAGAGUGAAACUCCACGUGUAGCGGUGAAUGCGUAGAGAUGUGGAGGAACACCAGUGGCGAAGGCGACUCUCUGGUCUGUAACUGACGCUGAGGAGCGAAAGCGUGGGGAGCGAACAGGAUUAGAUACCCUGCUA
RNAcentral lists this ribosomal RNA (750 nucleotides) under Bacillus pumilus. Its description in RNAcentral is "bacterial SSU rRNA". It matches the Rfam family "Bacterial small subunit ribosomal RNA", at positions 56 to 792 of the family's 1533-position model. The record is from RNAcentral. Lineage: Bacteria; Bacillati; Bacillota; Bacilli; Caryophanales; Bacillaceae.